This 368-nucleotide ribosomal RNA is filed under the name uncultured organism. RNAcentral's name for it is "bacterial SSU rRNA". It matches the Rfam family "Bacterial small subunit ribosomal RNA", at positions 526 to 896 of the family's 1533-position model. The record is from RNAcentral.
CGGAGGUGGCGAGCGUUACUCGGAAUCAUUGGGUGUAAAGGGCAAGUAGGCGGUUUGUUAAGUGAGGGGUGAAAUCUUCCGACUCAAUCGGGAAACUGCCUUUCAAACUGACAGACUUGAGGAUGGAAGAGGAAUAUGGAAUUCGCGGUGUAAGGGUGAAAUCUGUAGAUAUCGCGAAGAACACCAGCGGCGAAGGCGAUCUUCUGGUCCAUUUCUGACGCUAAAUUGCGAAAGCUAGGGGAGCAAACAGAAUUAGAUACUCUGGUAGUCCUAGCUGUAAACGAUGAGCACUAGGUGUUGGCCCGUAAGGGUCAGUGCCGCAGCUAACGCAUUAAGUGCUCCACCUGGGGACUACGGCCGCAAGGUUA